Molecule: ribosomal RNA, 1495 nt
Filed under: Triticum aestivum (bread wheat)
Lineage: Eukaryota; Viridiplantae; Streptophyta; Magnoliopsida; Poales; Poaceae
Description: partial small subunit ribosomal RNA
Source: RNAcentral
GGAGUACGUAGCAGUGCAAAGCAUAGGCCCAGAAUAGUUUCCUCUCACGCAUUAAUGCAAACACACUUGGGGAACAAAGUGCUAGCGAUAUAUCUUAAAAUUUUACAGGAAGCCAAGUUUCCAUAGCUACACAGAUUCAUGGUAAGAGACACAAAAAAUUCUUCGCCUCCAAAUCAUACUGGUAUACUAGCGCCGGAUGGACGAGUUCGCACCAGCGUUUCUUCUUCUGCAACCACACCACCACCCGCCCGCGGCCGCUUCAAACUCCAUUUUCCGCUUCUUCAAAAGGACAAACUCUGUCGAACGGACACUGUGUGAGGUGAUGGAGUGCUUGCACAGGAGGCGAUAGAUGGACUGCUCGCAAGUGAGGUGACGAACUUCUCCUGGUGCACCAAGCACUGACGGGCAGCAGCGGCUUCGUGCUCGGACGGAGACGAGAUUUGGAAAGUGGCAUUUUUCAGGCAUCGUGUGGAAGCCUGCAUCCUUUCCUGAACCUUGACAGUGUACCAAAUAACUUGUAUUAUCAGUAUAUGUUCACAGUACAGAUCAUGGCUCAUAGACUUGGAGGAUUGCAAUAUAAUUAGGCAAAAUGGGAAUCUUUUCAACAGAACAUGUGCUCUGAACAUCAACAUACCGCUACUGUUAUGCAACUGGGUGACGCGGAACUGAAGAUGAGCGCAGUGGCUUGGUCGUGGGCGAAGUACGGGCACUGGUCGCGCCCAAUGGCAAGGGCAGUCCUGUCUAGGCAACCAGUGAAGGUCGGGGAGGUGGGGGAAGGGGUGGGACGCCGGAGGUAGAGAAGGAGAAGAGGAGGCUCACCGGAGGGGAGGGUUGCGGGGUUGUCCGGAUCCGCGUCGGAGCAAGCGGGCGGGAGGGAGGGUGCCCAGGCUAAUGGUUGUCGGGCUUCGUCGACGGCGAUGGUUGCGGGGCAGAGCCGCGCCCGUAGGUAGAGGAGCAUGGGCGCGAUGCAGGAGAGGCCAGAGGUGGUGGUUGCGAUGCUAUUUGGGGAGGGAAAGAGUGGCGGCGGCGCGACCAGGGAGGGAGAUGGCGGUGGCUGGGUGAUCCGGGGAGGGCGGUGGCACUGGCGGCGGGAUUUGAGGAGGGCGGUGGUUCCGGGGAGGGUGCACGGCGGCGGGGGUUCCCGGGAGGGCUCGUGGCGGCGGGGCGUUCCUGGGAGGGCGCGCGCGGCGUGGGGUUCAGGGGAAGGCGCGCGGCGGCGGGAUCAGAGGACGGCGGCGGGAUGAGGGGCUCAGGGGAGCAGAGGUUGCGGUUGGGGAAAGAGGAGGCCCCGGCGGAGGUUUGGGGACGAGGCGGCGGCGAGAUCUGGCAUUCGGCAGGGAGUGGAUCGAGGGAGGAGGUGGGGAUCGGGGCAGCGGGUGGGGUGUGGUGUUUUUUUAAUCGGUCCGGUGGGUUUCGUGAUCUCAUGAACGAGUGAUCGCCCCUAUAUAGGGAUGGCUGUGAUCCAAAUAACCAUUCUAAUCCCAGGAUUAGAAUA